GAGCGACGCCGCGUGAUUGAAGAAGCCCUUCGGGGUGUAAAAAUCUUUUCUCAAGGAAAAACCAAUGAUUGUACUUGAGGAAUAAGCCACUGCUAACCUCGUGCCAGCAGCAGCGGUAAUACGAGGGUGGCAAGCGUUAUCCGGAUUUAUUGGGCGUAAAGCGUACGUAGGUGGCUAGAUAAGUUAGCGGUUAAAUCUCGGAGCUCAACUCCGAACCAGCCGUUAAUACUGUCUUGCUAGAGUCCGGGAGAGGUAAGCGGAAUUGCCGGUGUAGUAGUAAUAUGCGUUAAUAUCGGCAAGAACACCAAAGGCGAAGGCAGCUUACUAGAACGGUACUGACACUAAGGUACGAAAGCGUGGGUAGCGAAUGGGAUUAGAUACCCCAGUAGUCCACGCCGUAAACGAUGGAUACUAGGCAUUGGAAGUAUCGACCCUUUCAGUGCCGCACAAAAAAGCUAACGCAUUAAGUAUCCCGCCUGGGGAGUACGGCCGCAAGGCUAAAACUCAAAGGAAUUGACGGGAACCUGCACAAGCGGUGGAGCAUGUGGUUUAAUUCGAUGCUACGCGUAGAACCUUACCCAGGCUCGAAAUGUAGCGGACCGCUCCUGAAAGGGAGUUUCUCGUAAGAGUCGCUAUAUAGGUGCUGCAUGGCUGUCGUCAGCUCGUGCCGUGAGGUGUUGGGUUAAGUCCCGCAACGAGCGCAACCCUUAUCACUAGUUG
RNAcentral lists this ribosomal RNA (720 nucleotides) under uncultured bacterium. RNAcentral's name for it is "bacterial SSU rRNA". It matches the Rfam family "Bacterial small subunit ribosomal RNA", at positions 389 to 1117 of the family's 1533-position model. The record is from RNAcentral.